CCUACGGGCGGCUGCAGUGAGGAAUAUUGGUCAAUGGGCGCAAGCCUGAACCAGCCAAGUCGCGUGAGGGAAGACGGUCCUAUGGAUUGUAAACCUCUUUUGUCGGGGAGCAAAGCGCGGUACGAGUACCGUGAAGGAGAGUACCCGAAGAAAAAGCAUCGGCUAACUCCGUGCCAGCAGCCGCGGUAAUACGGAGGAUGCGAGCGUUAUCCGGAUUUAUUGGGUUUAAAGGGUGCGUAGGCGGAUUUGUAAGUCAGCGGUAAAAAUGCGGUGCUCAACGCCGUAUCGCCGUUGAAACUGCGGGUCUUGAGUGAGCGAGAAGUAUGCGGAAUGCGUGGUGUAGCGGUGAAAUGCAUAGAUAUCACGCAGAACGCCGAUUGCGAAGGCAGCAUACCGGCGCGCAACUGACGCUGAGGCACGAAAGCGUGGGGAUCGAACAGGAUUAGAUACCCUAGUAGUC
RNAcentral lists this ribosomal RNA (460 nucleotides) under uncultured Barnesiella sp. Its description in RNAcentral is "bacterial SSU rRNA". It matches the Rfam family "Bacterial small subunit ribosomal RNA", at positions 338 to 795 of the family's 1533-position model. Lineage: Bacteria; Pseudomonadati; Bacteroidota; Bacteroidia; Bacteroidales; Barnesiellaceae. The record is from RNAcentral.